AAGAUAAUGCCUGUUGUCAUGCUGUCUUAUUAUGUUUCCUUUUCCAAACCCAUCUCUCACUGCUGACAUACACGCAGAAUUGCAUUGGUGCAUUGGUUCUCCUUUGAAGUUAGUAUGGCAUGAAGAAAACAAAAUACACUGAACACUGAAUGAUUUAAUGGAAAGCAACAAAUCGUGAACCCAUUGUGGUGACAUCUGAUGAAGCCGUAUUUACAGCUUUACCAGGUGUUAAUUGCUUUCCUGGUUAUAUUUGGUGUUGGCUCAGUCACAAGAUGAUGUCUCAUGUCUCACAAUCUUCAACUCGUGACGUAUUGGUAAACCUAAACCCAUUAAGGGAUAAUGUCAUGGAAGGCUCUUAAUAUUUGACAUUUGCUUCUGUAUAUAUUCAAAGCUGUAUGCUCUUUACAUAUGGAUAAAGUAGAUCCUCAAGGUUUCAGUGAGCAGUUGAGUGAGCAGGGUGCCGUGGUGGCAGUCUGGUCGGGAAAUGUUCCUCGGUGUGGUCUGACUGCUGGCUGACCUCCAGGAGAUGUUUAUAGACAAUAAGGGCAAGGUCACCUUCUCAGAGCAACGGAGAACUCACACGGUCCAUGAAGUCAGCAGUCACUUGACCACACUGAGAAUCUCUGACGUCUACAAAUAAACAGACAGGAGCCACGUCGCAUAUUGGACAACAGAGAGGCGUUCCCCGGUACACAAACUUAUAGCUUCCUCAGGCAUUUGAGACAGAGAAUGAACCAUAGGAAUUAUCAGGGAUGUCCUCUUAAUAAAGUAUGUAGGCUUUCACUCUCCUUUUCUUUUCAAAAUAAUUUAUUGCUAGUAUCUCAGCCUCUAGUGAGAUAAGUUCAUGGGUUCUCAGGGAAUGCAUGAACUGAUAAAAUGUAUACAUUGAAUGCAAUGUAGGUUGCUUUGGACAAAAGCAUCAACCAGUGACAUGAAUGUAAAUGUAUUAAUAAUAGGCAUUCUGAUAUGGCUAAAAGUGCCCACUCUUCAUUAAAUCAGUUCCUGAAGGAUGACAUUUUGUCUUAACCUUUUUGUCAAGUCAGAUUUAUUUGUAUAACAUUUUGUACAUUUUGUUUCAAAUCAGCUUUACAGAAAAUCAUGAUGUUACUGUUAAUGUACAAUAUCUUAACAUCUUCAUGCCUUAUAGUCACAUUUAACAGAUCAGAGCUGGGCAUAAUAUAGGAUGUGUUCAUACUUGUCAGGUUUGGUUUGUUUAAAACAAAAUCUGGUGCGAUUGCUCUGUUAGUGUGAUUCAUUUGAAUAAGUGUGAAUGCUGCCAUCUGAACCCUGGUGUGCACACCAAACAAGACCUGAAAAGGGUCAUAUUUGUGGUGCCCCCGGAACACAAAUACAACUGAGGGGGACACAAAAUGGACUACAUGAUUUUUUAGAGAAAGCAAAAUCAGGUUUGUCUCUUGUUACCUUACAGACUACACCAAAUAGCACAGUUACAACCACCCCCGAAAUUAUCAGUCAUUCAAAGCUGGGGAGGAAUUGUGGGAGCUUCAUUAGGUUCAUGGAUGACUCAGAUUUACCCCUGGGCCUUUGCCAGGGCAUGCCUAUGUUCUGAGAGGUCAGCCAAAAGAAGAUCUGCCAUUUAUGGAGAGCAAGUAAAUUGAUAACACAGAGAGAUAAUCUAAUAUGGUGGUGAUAUUUGCACUUGACAGAGGUGGAACAACAUGGGAGUGGGCAAAGACUGCUGACUGAAUGACCUUCUUUAAAAGUAAAGGGAAAAACCCCCCCACCAGAUUCGACCUGCGUCAUAUCAUAACUCAAUGGUCAUGUAAAAGAUAUACUUUUAUCCAAAGCAACUUACACUAUUCAAGCUAUACAUUUUUUCAAUUAAUUUCAUACCCUGGAAAUCGAACGUGUCAGGUUAUGUAUGUAACCCGGUUCCCUGAGAGAGGAACAAGAUGCUGCAUCAUGGCUUGAUGCUAUGGGAAAUCUCAACAGUUUGAGUUGGUGUCUAAAGCACAUGUUUACAUGGCAACCAAGGAUUGGCUGAGCGUGAUGAAAUAGUGACGUAGCAUAGUACGUCACUGAAACCAUAAAUAGACACCAUGUCAGAGUGUCACCAGAUUCUAAUUGUCUGAAGGAGACAGCCUUGAUACAUACAUAACCAGAGAUCUUCCCUUUCCAGUGGAACCACUGUCUCCAUGCCACUGGACAAUACCUGCCCAACAAGGCUGUAUUUCUGCACAGACAGUUGUGAGUGCGGGCUAAGACCAGAUCAGCCCUGAAGGACCUGAGACCCUGGGGAUGAAUCUGUAUCCAAACUAUAAAACUUGAUGAAUGUGUGUGGAAAGAACCAUCUUGCCACAUCACAAACAUCUUGCAAUGGUACAUCCCUAGCAAGAGCUUUGAAAGGUGCGACACUUCUAGUGGGGUGGGCCUUAACCCCUAGAGGCAAAGCCAUUCCUUGCACCUCAUAGGGAUCCUGUGUCAGUGAUCCAGUGUGAGAUGUGCUGCUUGGUGACCACAUUCCCUUUAUUGCUGCCACUAAAGCAGACCAGGAGCUGAGAGGACUUAAGCCACUGUCCUUGGCUGCAUUUCCCACAUCGUAGGCCUAAGUACAUGUAGAACCAUGUAGAGCAACAGGAAUGAACUCGCAGCCAGCAGAGCCGUCUGGCACCGCAUGAGAACCAAGAAACCAGAUGAUGUCUCCCUACAGAAGCCCCAUCUAAAGCCGAUUCGUCAUGUUGAAUCGGCGUUGGAGCCCAUCGGUCCAUCUGGCCAUCUGAUCAUUCUGAUUGGCUGUUCAGCUACUGCCACCUGCUGGUAUGGAAAGGCAUUUCAUCUUACACAGGCGCAGAACGAAAGUGCUUCUUGGCCGUCAACUGUCAAGCGUCGGUUUGGUGUGUCAGGGCAACUUUGGAACAAGACGCUGCCGAUUUGAGCCAGUCUGCAUUCAUCGCCACUAGUUCGUCGACGUCUGCUUGGUGUGCUCCUGCCUUUAGAGUUUAGUCUUGUUAAUCCCUUUGUUAGUUUCCUUGGUUACCAAUUAGUUACAUCUGUGUCUCAAUUAGUUUGUUUGUGUACACAUUGUGUACACAUUUGUGUAUACAUUUCUUCUGAGUGUUGAAAUAACACAGCUGUACAACAUGAAAAAUUUACAACAUAAAUAAGAUCCAAAACCAAUCUGUCUUUUACAAUGUCAUCUUAUCCAUAUUUCCAUGAGUUCACUCGUACAUGAAAUCAGAUAUAGUAAAUUACACUUAUUUGGCGUGCUGUCCGGUGGAUGGCUCCGAGCUUGGAAUUUGGCCCAAACCCUGAGUACUCCCACUCCUUGACUGGGAUAGGAACCAGCCAAGAAUGAGGCAAUGGGGUGGUGGAGGGAUGCUGUGAAACUUUCCUCUUGUACUGAUUGGUUGGAUUACAUGAACAUGCUCCUCCCGAACUUUUUUAAAUUAAACUUCAUGGUAAAACUAAUACAUAUGAAUUGAGAGUUCAAGAGACAUGAUUGCUUUAUAUGAUGAACAGAUUGAAUAUAGGCUUUUAUUCACAUAAACAUUGAUCAGCGAACAUAAAGAGAAGUUCAACUGUAUAUGCUUGACGUGCAAGAACAAACCUUAUUGGUUUCAUUGGCCAUUGAAACAAAUACAGAUACAAUAUCUGACAGCCUUGUGGGCAGCGCUCCGACAUAAAGUGCGUCAGGUGACCUGAGUUUGAGUCUUGGCUAGGGUACCUCUCCCGAUCAUGUUCCUCUCUCUCUCCCACUUUGCUACCUGUCAGUUCUCUGUACUGUCCAAUUUCAAUAAAGGCAAAAAUGCUUAAAAACAAAAACAAAUACAGAUAUUUCUUCACUGCACAUCACUCGUUUUUGUGUACCAAGAGCAAUAAAGUCUAACUGUGUUUUGUCAUGAAA
Megalobrama amblycephala (Wuchang bream) is the source of this 3865-nucleotide long non-coding RNA. RefSeq lists it as uncharacterized. The record is from RefSeq and is a predicted model, not a curated record. The transcript has 2 exons. NCBI's taxonomy places the organism in Eukaryota, Metazoa, Chordata, Actinopteri, Cypriniformes, Xenocyprididae.